This 201-nucleotide ribosomal RNA is filed under the name uncultured bacterium. RNAcentral describes it as "partial 16S ribosomal RNA". It matches the Rfam family "Bacterial small subunit ribosomal RNA", at positions 29 to 220 of the family's 1533-position model. The record is from RNAcentral.
AACGAACGCUGGCGGCGCGCCUAAUACAUGCAAGUCGAGCGAGAAGACGUAGCAAUACGUUUGUAAAGCGGCGAACGGGUGAGGAAUACAUGGGUAACCUACCCUCGAGUGGGGAAUAACUAGCCGAAAGGUUAGCUAAUACCGCGUACGCUCCUUGGACUUCGGUUCAGGGAGGAAAGCGAUACCGUGGGUAUCGCGCUC